GCCAGGUGCAGUGGCAUGUGCCUGUAGUCCCAGCUACUCGGAAGGCUGAGGUGGGAGGAUCACUUGAGCCCAGGAGUUCUGGGCCGUAGUGCACUAUGCCGAUCCGGUGUCCACACUAAGUUCUGCAUCAAUAUGGUGACCUGGGAGUGGGGGACCACCAGGUUGCCUAAUGAGGGGUGAACCAGCCCAGAUCGGAAACGGAGCAGGUCAAAACUCCCGUGCUGAUCAGUGGUGGGAUCGAGCCUGUGAAUAGCCACCGUACUCCAGCCUGGGCAACAUAGCGAGACUCCAUCUUU
RNAcentral lists this signal recognition particle RNA (296 nucleotides) under Cebus imitator (Panamanian white-faced capuchin). Its description in RNAcentral is "Metazoan signal recognition particle RNA (ENSCCAG00000011753.1)". It matches the Rfam family "Metazoan signal recognition particle RNA". From Rfam's summary of the family: The signal recognition particle (SRP) is a universally conserved ribonucleoprotein. It is involved in the co-translational targeting of proteins to membranes. The record is from RNAcentral. Lineage: Eukaryota; Metazoa; Chordata; Mammalia; Primates; Cebidae.